This 64-nucleotide transfer RNA is filed under the name Lacerta agilis (Sand lizard). Its description in RNAcentral is "tRNA-Ser". The record is from RNAcentral. Lineage: Eukaryota; Metazoa; Chordata; Lepidosauria; Squamata; Lacertidae.
AGAGGUGUAUGAACAAAUUGACCUGCUAAUUCAAACAACUGAGGAUAAAAUCCCCAGACCUCUU